RNAcentral lists this ribosomal RNA (273 nucleotides) under uncultured bacterium. Its description in RNAcentral is "partial 16S ribosomal RNA". It matches the Rfam family "Bacterial small subunit ribosomal RNA", at positions 524 to 796 of the family's 1533-position model. The record is from RNAcentral.
UACGUAGUGUUCAAGAGUUAAUCGGAAUUACUGGGCGUAAAGCGCGCGUAGGUGGUUCGUUAAGUUGGAUGUGAAAGCCCCGGGCUCAACCUGGGAACUGCAUCCAAAACUGGCGAGCUAGAGGAUGGCAGAGGGUGGUGGAAGUUCCUGUGUAGCGGUGAAAUGCGUAGAUAUAGGAAGGAACACCAGUGGCGAAGGCGACCACCUGGGCUAAUACUGACACGGAGGUGCGAAAGCGUGGGGAGCCAACAGGAGUAGAUACCCCCGUAGUCC